GGGCGCUUAGCUCAGCGGUAGAGCACACCUUUUACUCGGGUGGGGUCGCACGUUCGAUCCGUGCAGCGCCCACCA
Molecule: transfer RNA, 75 nt
Filed under: Reyranella soli
Lineage: Bacteria; Pseudomonadati; Pseudomonadota; Alphaproteobacteria; Hyphomicrobiales; Reyranellaceae
Description: tRNA-Val
Rfam family: tRNA
About the family: Transfer RNA (tRNA) molecules are approximately 80 nucleotides in length. Their secondary structure includes four short double-helical elements and three loops (D, anti-codon, and T loops). Further hydrogen bonds mediate the characteristic L-shaped molecular structure. tRNAs have two regions of fundamental functional importance: the anti-codon, which is responsible for specific mRNA codon recognition, and the 3' end, to which the tRNAs corresponding amino acid is attached (by aminoacyl-tRNA synthetases). tRNAs cope with the degeneracy of the genetic code in two manners: having more than one tRNA (with a specific anti-codon) for a particular amino acid; and 'wobble' base-pairing, i.e. permitting non-standard base-pairing at the 3rd anti-codon position.
Source: RNAcentral